GUCUAUGUCUGUACCACCCUGAAUACACAUGAUCCCAUCUGAUCUUGGAAGCUAAGCAGGGUCAGGCCUGAUUAGUACUUGGAUGAGAGAUUUUGUGGGUGUUAGCUGGCUUCUUCUAAC
Non-coding RNA from Gorilla gorilla gorilla (western lowland gorilla), 120 nucleotides. Lineage: Eukaryota; Metazoa; Chordata; Mammalia; Primates; Hominidae. The record is from Rfam.